CAAUCCACGGAUGCAUCAACGAAAGCCUAGAAAACGGAGUUUUCUUAGAAUGCAAGGCAACCCAAAAAUCCCCUGUCUCGGUCCUCCUGAUGUUAUCAGCGUAGCCCGGGAGCUUAGCGAAUAUGUCGCGGGUCCCUGCUUUAGGUCCUUUGACCCAAUAUCGAUGAACAAGUUGCGUUGGAACCUCACAGGAAAGCACGAACGAACCAUCUUUGCUUAUGGCAAGACCAUUAGGGAAAUGUAGACCGUCCAUUAUAACUUUGGCCUCUUUUGUCUUCUUGUCAUAUCGAAUCGCUCUUCCCGUCUUUUCGCCACACAGAAACGCGUAGAAUACGUCCCUGAUCCAUGCACGAACGUAAUAAUUUUAGCAUAUGUCGACAGAAAGUAAAUUUAUACGUUUUACUAAUAACUUGGUAAAAAAAAAAAACUUGGUAAAAAAGAAAAGUGGAUUUUUCUUUGGGUUUACAUGUUAUAAUGAAACCAAAAAUUAGUACUUAAAUAUAUAAUUUCUUGUUUUGAAAAGCUCAUGAUAUCAUUGCAUCACCAUUAUAUUCCAAUAUAUACAUUGAUGCGAGCAAUGCUUUUGUGGACCAUAAGUAAUUUUUCUGCCUAUGGGAUGUUGUCUAGAUGGACUACACAUGGGAGAUUAACUUGUACAUAUUGUAAUGGAACGACAUAUGCGUUUCAACUGAAGAAUGGUAGGAAGACAAGUUGGUUUGAUUGUCACCCUCGAUUUCUUCCCAUUGGCCAUCCUUACCGAAGAAACAAGAAUUUUUUUAGGCACAAAAGGGUUGUGAGAGACACUCCUCCUCCAUACCUAACUGGAGAACAAAUUGAAGCGCAAAUCGACUACUACGGAGCUAACGAAACAGUUCGUUGGGGUGGUAAUUGGCAUGUCCCUCGUAAUAUGCCAGAUUCUUACACGCGAAGGCGAAAGUUCGCUUGUUGGACACAGUUUCCAACUGGAAGGGUGACUGGAUCGUGAAGGGGUAUGAGCGUGGCAACCCCGCUGAGCUCACCACGGAUGUGUGGGAUGGCCUCAUCCGUUAUUGGCGUCUUCCUGAUUCUAUUAGAAUCGCCCAGUCUUGCCCUAACUCCCGUAACACGGUCGAUGAGCACGGAAACGGGCCGAUGCUUUAUGGAACGACUACUGCCUUUUGCAUUUGAGGAGCUACUUCCAACAAACGUACAUGAAGCACUUGCAAGUACGUAGUGUACAUGAAGAGGGUGAGGAAGAAGUUUAACGCGAAGGCGAAAGUUCGCUUGUUGGACACAGUUUCCAACUGGAAGGGUGACUGGAUCGUGAAGGGGUAUGAGCGUGGCAAACCCGCUGAGCUCACCACGGAUGUGUGGGAUGGCCUCAUCCGUUAUUGGCGUCUUCCUGAUUCUAUUAGAAUCGCCCAGUCUUGCCCUAACUCCCGUAACACGGUCGAUGAGCACGGAAACGGGCCGAUGCUUUACACUACGGGCCAAACACCCCACGCCGGUAUCCGUUUGCAAAUGGUAAUUAAAUAUUUUAUUAAAUAAAAUUUUUAAUAGAUAUUUUUAUUCUAACUUUCUUAUUUUUAAUAAAUAUUUUUAUUUUUUGGGACAUCUCCCGUCUCUUAUGGAACUUUACGAGAGGACCCACAAGAACAAGGCGAGCGUAUUUGUAGAUGGCAAGUCCGAGCAAAUCUACAACGACGUGGUUGCUCGGGUUGAAGACCGCCAGACUCAGCUGACCCAGCAGUCUACCGACGGAUUACCCGUCACCUUAUCCACACUUGAAGUGGAUAAGAUUUACGAGGAGGUAAAUUUUCAAAAAUUUUAAUUUUUUAUUAUUCAUUUAAUUUAACUUUAAAUUUUUACUAACAAUAUUUAUUUUUUGUUUUUAAGGUUGUCCCUAAAAAAAAGGGACGGACGUUGGGGAUUGGUUCCGUCAACGAUGUUCCGAGAGCGACAUCGUCUUAUGGUCAGCGACGGGAUGAUGAAGUCACUGAGCUGCGUAACGAGUUGGCCGCGACAAAAUCUCGUAUGGGUGGAGUCGAGGGCUUCUUGGACGUUAUAGUGGCCACAAAUCCGGAAUGGGAGUCCAUGUUGAGGAACAUGCAACAACAACAUCCCAUUCAAGGCGAGUCAUCCGACAUACAUAACGAGGCGGAUGUUGCAAGGAGGAGUGAUGAAUUCUACCAGGCGAUGAACAACCCUUAGUUCUUUUUUUCCGGUUGUUGUAUUAUAAAUUCAAAAUUAUUUAUAUAUAAAAUAUUUUUGUAUUGAUUUAUUUUUAUUCUAAAUUAUAAUUUUUUUAAUGAAUUAAAUAAAUUUAAUUAUUUUUUUAAUUAUAUUUUUAAAUUCUGUAAAAUAAUAAAAACAAAGUAAAUUCGUAGCUAAUGUACGACCUAUUUACGUGGAAACCUUACGAGGAAAUGACGAGAAAAAAUAAACGAGUAUUUUACGAGAAAACAUUUACGAGGAAAUGACGAGGAAAGAUAAACGAGUAUUUUACGAGAAAAUACAUUCGUGGUAGUUACGUGUAUUUUGCGAGAAAACACUUUCAAGGUAUUUACGUGUAGUUUACGAGGAACUCGUUUCGAGGUAUUUACGAGGAAAUAUAAUGACCUCCUUACGUGGAAUAUUUACGUGGUCUUUACGACGAAAUGAUGUACUUCGUCUUUACGACAAAAUAUUUUCCUCGCUAAGUUACGAUGAAUUGGCGAGGAAAUAUGUGUUACGACGGAUGAGUAACGAGCAAACGUGUUUCCUCGCUAAUUCGUCGUAAAGCCUCUUUAACGACGAACUCACGAGGAAAACCGCCCUCGUUAAGCUUAUGUUUUCUUGUAGUGACUUUAUUAUUGACUGGACUCUCCUAUACUCGGAAUUGCAGGUGGUUCGAUCCCCUAAAGUAAAGGCAAGCGCAUAGGCUAUAGAAUCCAAAAUAGAGCUCCUUCGGCUCUAAACUGCUACUGUGCUUAUUUGGUCUAUCAGCAACUCGGCCAGCUACUGACCUAAUUGGUAACUUUUCAGUCAAGGUAUGGAUCACUCACUUCUGAGUCUUUUUGUUGCAGACAAGCUGCUUUGGUCUCACUCCUAGCUUUUCUUAUCGAAAGGAAAAAAGAAGGAUCGUCUCACUCCAGUCAAAUAUGUAUGUGGUUGGGAACUUUCUGUGCUGUUAUGAUUCCAUGAUCUUCAUCGCCACCUCUGUCCUAUAACGCUUUCCUUUAUAGCAGUUAUUGCUCCGGUUCCUGAAGGUAUAGCUCUUGCCGAGGAAUUCCUUUGAAAUCGGAGACUGUUCAAAUUUCCUACUGAGAUAGGCAAGCGAAGGGAGAACUAGAGGUAUCUUGCUAGGCAAAGAAGGUUAGAAUGUAUAGCUCGCGGGUGGGAUUGUCUCACACCGCCUAACAUGAGAAAUAUCCUUUUGGAGAACCAUUAACCAAGACAGAGAGCUUGACAGCGUCGAGGUGCUUUAGCAACUCGACUGAAAGGAGAGGAACCACACCCAUGACUAGCUUGUUUCUGCUUGUUCGUUCGCUUGUAGGUUGCUACGCUGUUUUGCGAGUCAUUCCAUUCUCUUCCCUUAAACUACUACGUGAGGAUCGGAGGGUCGCUACGAGAUUCCUUUCUUCUUAUCUUAAUAGGAACGUAGGGCGUGUUAUGGCUUGAACCCUUUCGAAAAGGUCAGGGCGAAGGGCAUCCAACCAAGCAACAAGGAAAAUUACGAGAACAGAACAAAAGAAGAAAAUACCAAUUCAAUUUGAAUGGAUUCAAAACAAGGUUACUGUAUGGAUCUAGAUUAAAAAUUCUUCUGUUUUCAUCUAUUAAAUAAGAGUGAAUUAUUUGAAAAAUAUAUUUGAAGUUAUCAAGUUGCAAAUAUUUAAUUAAACAGAUCUGACGUGACGCGAAUAAUAAGCGUGUAAUCAUUGUCAAAAGCUAAUACCUAUUGUGGGAUAUGCCCUGUAGGCAGGAGUAAGAAGGUCAGCUAGGAAAUCAACAGAUAACAACAACAACGGAGGGAAUGAGUUCCUCCGGCAUCUAGGUAGAACCUUCCAGAAAACCGGGAAAGUAGGGCAUCAUAUAGUAAAGUAGGACUACUCCCAGAAUCUAUAAUUGUCGCAAAAAGUCCAAUAUACAUACAUUAUUGGAUCUUUUGAAUAACAGUCUAGAAGACCUUAUCAAAAUGGAACAUUUUCACAUAGAAGAUGUAAAAAAGAUUUUAGACAUUUUAGAAAAAAAUAAAAAAGGCAUAAAAAAAAAAUUGAUUACAUUGAAAAAAAAAUUUAAUUUUUGGUAGAGCACAACAUGUGAUGUUCCAAAUAGAACUGUACCACAAGAAAAGAAGAAAAAAAGACAUAUAUAUAUAUACAUGUGCAUUCUUUUUUAUUUUAUACGAGGAAAUGACGAGGAAAGAUAAACGAGUAUUUUACGAGAAAAUACAUUCGUGGUAGUUACGUGUAUUUUGCGAGAAAACACUUUCAAGGUAUUUACGUGUAGUUUACGAGGAACUCGUUUCGAGGUAUUUACGAGGAAAUAUAAUGACCUCCUUACGUGGAAUAUUUACGUGGUCUUUACGACGAAAUGAUGUACUUCGUCUUUACGACAAAAUAUUUUCCUCGCUAAGUUACGAUGAAUUGGCGAGGAAAUAUGUGUUAUGAUGGAUGAGUAACGAGCAAACGUGUUUCCUCGCUAAUUCGUCGUAAAGCCUCUUUAACGACGAACUCACGAGGAAAACCGCCCUCGUUAAGCUUAUGUUUUCUUGUAGUGACUUUAUUAUUGACUGGACUCUCCUAUACUCGGAAUUGCAGGUGGUUCGAUCCCCUAAAGUAAAGGCAAGCGCAUAGGCUAUAGAAUCCAAAAUAGAGCUCCUUCGGCUCUAAACUGCUACUGUGCUUAUUUGGUCUAUCAGCAACUCGGCCAGCUACUGACCUAAUUGGUAACUUUUCAGUCAAGGUAUGGAUCACUCACUUCUGAGUCUUUUUGUUGCAGACAAGCUGCUUUGGUCUCACUCCUAGCUUUUCUUAUCGAAAGGAAAAAAGAAGGAUCGUCUCACUCCAGUCAAAUAUGUAUGUGGUUGGGAACUUUCUGUGCUGUUAUGAUUCCAUGAUCUUCAUCGCCACCUCUGUCCUAUAACGCUUUCCUUUAUAGCAGUUAUUGCUCCGGUUCCUGAAGGUACCCGGGAGCUUAGCGAAUAUGUCGCGGGUCCCUGCUUUAGGUCCUUUGACCCAAUAUCGAUGAACAAGUUGCGUUGGAACCUCACAGGAAAGCACGAACGAACCAUCUUUGCUUAUGGCAAGACCAUUAGGGAAAUGUAGACCGUCCAUUAUAACUUUGGCCUCUUUUGUCUUCUUGUC
This 5324-nucleotide long non-coding RNA is filed under the name Brassica napus (rape). Its description in RNAcentral is "long non-coding RNA (BNAP_LNC014795)". Lineage: Eukaryota; Viridiplantae; Streptophyta; Magnoliopsida; Brassicales; Brassicaceae. The record is from RNAcentral.